AAGUAUAAGAGGUCCCGGACUGCCCUGUGACUAUAUGUUUAACGGCCGGGGUAUUUUGACCGUGCGAAGGUAGCGCAAUCACUUGUCUUUUAAAUGGGGACCUGUAUGAAUGGCAUAACGAGGGCUUGACUGUCUCCUCUUUCAAGUCGAUGAAAUUGAUCUCCCCGUGCAGAAGCGGGGAUAAACACAUAAGACGAGAAGACCCUAUGGAGCUUCAGACACUAAAGCAAACCAACAUUAACACCCUAAACACAGGGCACGAAUAAACUUGGCCUCUGCCCUAAUGUCUUUGGUUGGGGCGACCGCGGAGAAACAUAAAACCCCCGCAAGGACCGAAUGUACUACAUUCACAACCAAGAGCGACAGCUCUGAGCAACAGAACUUCUGACCAAUAAGAUCCGGCAACGCCGAUUAAUGAACCGAGUUACCCUAGGGAUAACAGCGCAAUCUCCUCUUAGAGUCCAUAUCGACGAGGGGGUUUACGACCUCGAUGUUGGAUCAGGACAUCCUAAUGGUGCAGCCGCUAUUAAGGUUCGUUUGUUCAACGAUUAAAGUCCUACGUGAUCUGAGUUCAGAA
This 577-nucleotide ribosomal RNA is filed under the name Epinephelus ongus (white-streaked grouper). RNAcentral describes it as "partial 16S ribosomal RNA". It matches the Rfam family "Bacterial large subunit ribosomal RNA", at positions 1841 to 2616 of the family's 2925-position model. The record is from RNAcentral. Lineage: Eukaryota; Metazoa; Chordata; Actinopteri; Perciformes; Serranidae.